UGCCGCUCCCUCACCUCGGUGGCGGCUGGCCUGAUAGCCCUCCUGCGGGGGGAGCCUGGACCCCGAAGUCCUCUGCGAUGGGGGUCAGUCACCCGGUAAAAAAAAUUCCCAUAUGAAGAAGAAAGACUUUCUUCAAUAUGAUGGAUUCAGAAGCUCAUGAAAAGAGGCGAAAAAUCCUGUCUCCUUCACAGCAGGAUAUAUCACCUCACACUGUUCAUGAGUUUAAGCAUUACCUUUGUGGCUGCUGUGCAGCCUUUAACAACAUCGCAAUCACAUAUCCCAUUCAGAAGAUCCUUUUUCGGCAGCAGCUGUAUGGACUCAGAACUCGAGGUGCAAUACUUCAGUUACAGAAGGAGGGAUUGCGAAAUUUGUACAGAGGAAUUCUGCCUCCGUUAAUGCAGAAGACUACAACAUUAGCACUUAUGUUUGGUCUCUAUGAAGAUUUCUCUUCCAUUCUUCGCCAGCAUAUCAGUUCUGAAAUUGUGACUCGAAAUGCGGCAGCUGCUCUGGCUGGUGCAACAGAGGCACUUCUGACACCACUGGAACGCGUACAGACAUUGCUGCAAGACAACAAGCAUCACGAUAAAUUUGGAAACACUUAUCAUGCUCUCAAGGCUUUGAGAUCCUAUGGAAUUGGAGAAUAUUAUCGAGGUUUGAUACCCAUUCUUUUCCGUAAUGGACUCAGCAAUGUACUAUUUUUUGGCCUUCGAGGACCCAUCAAGGAACAUUUGCCUGAAGCAAAAUCUUGUAGCGCUCAUUUGAUUGAUGAUUUUAUCAGUGGAGGUUUAUUAGGUGCCAUGUUGGGAUUCUUGUUUUUUCCAGUGAAUGUUGUCAAAACUCGAAUGCAGUCUCAGAUUGGUGGGGAGUUUCAGUCUUUCCCUAAGGUUUUUGGAAAAAUCUGGCUAGAGCGUAAUGGGAAAUUGACACAUCUUUUCAGAGGCGCCCAUCUGAAUUACCAUCGAUCCCUCAUAUCCUGGGGCAUAAUCAAUGCAACUUAUGAGUUCAUGUUAAAGCUUUUAUGAAAGAUGUCAUCAAUAAAUCCCAAUAAUAAGCUCAGUAGAACUUCCAAGAAGACUUUAGUUAUACCCUGGUUAACAGGCUGAAUACUAGACAGUGUCAUAACUCAAACUGAGCAAGAUGAAACAUGAGCAAAGUAAUUUUUCUUUGGGAUAAAAAUGAGAAUAAAGGUUUAUGGGUAGCAAAGUUAAAAUUAUUUUUAUCAAUACUUGCUAGGUCUAGACUUUUGUUAUCAUUAAUUACCAUCAGUGUCGAUGGAAAGGUUCAAAGUCCAAGACAAGAUUUUUUUUUUAAAAAAUAUAAAUUCUUUGAACCAUCUGUAUUAAAACUUGAGCUGCCAUGAACAGCUGGAGAAAGGAGCCCUAGUGUCUUGAGAUUUCUCAGGCAUUUUGUGCUUCACUCUCUUGUUUACUCUCUAGAGCUGUAGAAAAGGGUCUUUAGUUUUGCAAAACAGAGAAGAGAAGCAGCUCUAUUAGGUAUGGGCUUUUCAUGAAAACUGCCUACCUUUACUGUAAAGCCAAAUGUGUACAGUUACCAAAACUGGGUUGCUCUUAAGUCACAUAGGAUUUUAUUUGUGUUGAUGGAACUGAGCAACUUUUAUUCGCAAAAUAACUUCCUGUUCUGAAAGACUCAAAACUUUAAAUUAACAAUUAUAAGCUCUAGUUUUCUUUUCUAAAUGUAAUUCUCUUUAUUAGAUCCAAUAUUUAUGUUGAACCCUUCUUGAAUAACUUUAGAUGUUGAUUUAUCCUUUUUAAAGUUAAUUUCAUCACAAAAAUGAGUAAACUUGAAUCUGUUAGUUUGUCUUUUGAAACAAAAAUUUUCAUUCCAUUCUCACAUGACAUAGAACUGUGUUUCAUUGAAUUAGUGCUUCAUCAGCAAAGGUGUUUUGUUUUCUUGCAGAGUCAUAGUUAGGUAACUUGAAAUUCCACUAAUUCUAUAGACCUUCUUCCUCCCUCCCUCCCUUAAAAAGAAGCUGCUUUAUUUAGUUGUUACUUCAUCUCCACCUCAGGUAUGUGUCCUGGCUUUGCAAAAGUUCAUUAUUUUGUAGCCUAUGCUUUCUUUGGUUUCUGAACAUAAAGAAAAAUCCUGAACUCUUGCUUUCUAUUAGACUAGCUAAUUUUUGCAUUCACUUAGUAAAUUUGUGUUGGGACCCAAAUUUUACAUUAUCUUCACAAACCAUAAAACUCAUCCAAGUCUUAAAGUCCUGGGUAAGACUUUGGAAUUUUAGCGUUUGACACUAACUAGAUAUCUUGACAGCUAGUAGCUAAACAAAUUGGAAAUAUCAUUUAUGAAGAAAUGCUGUUUAAAUCUCUUUUUUUUUCUUCAGGUAAAUAACAUGGUUGAAAUGACUGACAUAAAUCAGAAUCUUACAAACAUCCUGAGAAAAUUAUUUUACCUGUAAAAGAGCUAUUAAAUAUUAUUUAACAUAGGUUGGUUUUAAAUAUCUUACAUCAGUGACUUUUCAACUUUUUUACAGGAAUGAUAAGUGGAUGUUGUAAAACAAUUUGAUGUCCUAACCUUGCCAUACAAAUGUUUUAAUAAUCUGUGAGAUUCUAUGCUUAAAAUCAAGGCUUUAACAAGUGGCAGUUUCCUAAGUAUUGCAUGGGAUUAGUUAGUGAAAAGUCCAGAAAGAAUACAUACUUCUAAAUACAGUAUAUGACUGGCUGAACUAGUGAAUUUUGACAACUUAUCUCCAACUAUAUGAGAUGAGAAUCUAGCAAACACCAUUUUUUAAAAAUUGCUUUAUAUAACAGCAUUAAUAGCUGUAAAGCAGCCCCAUAUGCUGGAAAUGAAAAAAUAUCUUACAAACAAAAGUAUCUUACAGACAUUAAGGAUAUUAUUAACACUAUUCAGGGUUAAAUGUUACCAUUUCAAAUCACCAAAUAUGUGUGUAUGGCAACCUAAACCUUAAAUAGAAGACGAUAUGAGCAAAUGGAGUGGAACUUUUCAGAGUUUAAAUUUUUAAAAAAUAUAUGAGGUAGUCCUUGACUUUGGUCAUGUUUUCAGACAAAACCUUUGGAAAUGUUCCCAAAUGCUGACACUUAUGUAUGCAUGCACUGUAAAUUAUUUCCCCCUCCAUUGUACAUUGGUCUACUGAAUUAACUGUAUUAUCUUUAUUCCAUCUUGACCUACUCCUGUGUUUACACUCCAGUUGGUAGAAGUUGUGUUCUUUUGCACUUUUGUAGACUAUAACUGAAACUAGAAUUUGGGGAGAAUGCCUAGUUUUCCCUUUCUAAAAAUGUGUUUAGUUUUGCUUUGUUCUUUUUUUUAAAAUAAACAAGUUGGCUCAUGAAAUAAUAUUUUUAAUGCUCCUAACUCUGAUGCUAUUUUGGAUUUCCUUGUCACUUUUCUACAGCAUGUGAAAGCCAGAAUGAAGAUGAUUUUGCAUCACACUAGACAUCUUAAAUUUGACAAAAGAUUGAAUGAUACAUGUGUGGAUCAUUUAGCCAUCUGCUUUGUUCUGGACUUUAAAAGAAAGAAGUAAUAGUAGGCUGGGCAAGAAGUGUUAAUCACUGAAUUUUCAACUUCAUCAUAACUGGCUUGCUGUAAGACUUUUGAAAAGGUUCUUUUAUACUUCCUGUGCCAAUCCCUCAGACUCAUAUCUGACCAAAAGUGGAUAGAAAAGUAUGGACAAGAUGGAGUGGACUGCACCACCCAGCUGCCUGAAGGCACUCUUAGCAAAUUUGCAGAUGACAAAAAAUUGGGAGGAAUACUCAGAAUGACAUAUUAAAGAUCUAAAAAGGUGACCACAUGCUAGAAUAGUGGGCUGAAAGUAAUGUGAAACUUCAUAGGGAUAAACAAACAUGACACUGAAGAAAACAAGGAUGAUGAUCAGCUAGAUUAAAUUUACAGUGGGGUUUGUGCGUAAGGCAAAUUUGAAGGUGCUGUCAAGUCUCAAGAUUCAUGAAAGUGUCUUAGAAAAAAUAUUUGUCCUGACCAGAGGCAUCUAGGGUGUUACAAUAUUCUGUGCCUGGAAUCAGGAAGACCUGAACUCGAAUUUAGCUUUAGACACUAAGCUAAAAGACCUUGGACAAGUCACUUAGCCUGUCAGCCUCAGUUUCCUCAUCUGUAAAAUGGGAAUCAUAAUAGAACCUACUUCUUAAGGUUAUUGGGAGGAUCAAAUGACAUUUUAAAGCAUUUUGCAAACCUUAAAGUUUAACUCUAUAAAUGCUAGGAUGUUAAAAAGAAUGUCAGUAAUUAUCCACAUACCCACUUUACCAUCUCUACAAAAAUUAUAUAAGGAUAAUCUGUAUGCACAUUGACAACACUUUUAAGGUUUGAGAAAGGAACAGGAAGACUUGUAAACUUUUAUAGAAUGACCACAUCUUUAUAGGCAUAUGAUUCAAAGGUGCAAAGAAUACAAUGAGCUCAUUGUGCUUUACUAUUUAUUGAUUAUAAACAGCAUUUGAUUUAGUACAGGAAAAUGCCACUUUUUUAAAAGCAAGAAAAAAACCAACCAGAUCAAGAAUGAUUGUACGGAUGGAUGGAUAGGACAUAGAAAAGAGACAGACAUUGCAAAUGGAUCAUGAGUCUGGUCUGUAGUUGAACAAGAGCAAAGCAGGACAGAUUGUAUUUGAGAAAUACAAGAUGCUUUUCUCAAUAACCCUAGGCUUCUCGCUGAAACAAAGGCCCAUUCUUUAAAAUAGUAUUCUCCUGAGCAAUUAUGACCAAUUUCUGAAUUAGAAGUUGAGGAUCCCUGAAAGGGUAAUGAAGAGGGACAUAGCAAACAUAAGCAAGCAGCAACACAUCAACAAAUGAAUUGUACACAGAUGUAAGAGAUGUCAUUGGACAAAUAUACGGCUAGGAAAAAAAUAGGCCUGUCAUGUAGCAAGAUCAGACAAUAGAUGACAUUGUCAAGCUGAAGGCCCACAGGGGAAAAAAAAAUAGGCCAGUUGCAUAGAACAUGUAGGCAUGGAUAAGUUGAGAUCAUGGUAAGGGAGCAACCACAAUGAUGAGAUCAUAGAUCCAUCCAAGUAAAUGGUAAAGUUCUACACUGGACUUUUUAUCAUUUGCACAAAUUAGGGAAGGUGAGGCUAGACACCAGUUCAUGUGAAAAAUAUACCUGGAGAUUUCAUUGGCUUGCAAGCCUAAUUUGAAUAAGCAGUAUGAUGUGGAAACCUAAACAAAAACCUAAUGCAUUCAAUUGAGUUAAUAAGAAUAUGGUACCCAGAGUAAGGGAGAUAAUUAUCCUGUCUUCAUGCUCUGGUAAGUCCAUACCUUUAGUGUUAGGGUCUAGGCACCAAAUUUUAGGACACUGACAAUCUAGUGUAUCCAAAAGAGAAAUCAGGAUUGUGAGAACUGUAAAUAAUGCAGGAGAUUGUUACUAGAGAUGUUUAUUUGCAUGGGAAAGAGAAGACUGGGGGAAAGAGGGUUAGAGCUGAUAGUUUCAAAUACAUGAAAGGACCGCCAUGCGGAAAAGGGAAUAAAUUGGUUUUUGUUUGGUCCCAGGUGGCAAUAUUAUGUAGAGGAACAACCAGUAAGUGUUUGAAGAAAGAAUUCAAGCCAAAGUCUACUAAGCCAGUCUACUUUAAAGAAAGUGUAUUUUCUGUCACUGGAGGCCUGCAAUCAGGCCAACUCAGCUGAGAUAUUUUAAAAGGAGAUUUCUUAUUAGGUUGUCACAAUGCCUCUUCCAAUUCAAGUGAGGGGAGAUAAUAUUCUUUAAAGUAAGCAUUCUUACUUUAAGUCAUUUGGCCUCUAAGCAAUGCUAUUCAUUUUUAAAUCUUAGUUUGAAGGAUAGUAUCUCUCUAGGUUCUUUCCUGUGGUGAAAGACAAAUGAUUGCCAUUUAGAUGUUCUGUUUCACUGCUUGGCAUUUCUUGUGAGAAGGAUGAUCCCAUAUCUUCUCUGUGUUAUUAGAAUGCAGAAAAUAAUUAAACUAAUUUAUUAAAUAAACUAAUAAACUUUGGUUGACAUAUAAGUUGAUGAACUGAUGUGUUAGAAGAGAUUUUAUUGUAAAGAUAUUUAACCCUUUUCUCAGGGAACAAGAACCAGUGAAAUGGAUAUGCUUAAGCCCUCCUUGCUGAUUUCCCAUUUCUUUACCUCUCCUCUGAAAAAGUUAAAGCAGACUGAAUGGCAGGAAAAUAUAGAUGCCAGUGGCAUAGUGCAAUGAAGGAUGCCAUACAGUAAAAUAAUUUUAAAAGGGUCCUUAGGUAGCUCAUAGUAAGUACAAGCAGCAUAAGGAAAGGUGGUUCUAAUAUGGAAACAAUUCCCUUGAAUAACAGUUGGAACUUAAUAUUGAAAAGAAACUGAAAUUUAGGUUAUCUUUUGCUAUAGAUGAGAUUUCUAAUAUAAUGUUAUCACAGGUACUGGAGUAUGUAGUUUUAACAUAUUGAUAGGUUGUCUUAUAUACAAAAAUCUGGAAACCUGCAUUCUCUCAUUUAUAUCCCCAAGAAAAACAGCCUGUAUAUUGAGUAUUUUGUAUAUUUGAUUAUUUCCAUCCAUAUUUAAGUCAAUGUCUCUGCUUCUCUGACUGUUGGUUUUUGUUUUUUAGCUUAUAUUGAGUGAUACAAAAACUCUUUGAUAGAGAAUACUGUCAAAAUACACUACUUGAAUGUGUGAUUUGGGCAGGGGCCUUAAAAGGGCAAAAGUGCCUAAGGAACAUUUUAGUCCCAAGAAAAAAUAUUAAAAACAUGAGUGAAGAGACUUUACAAAUCAUUUAGUCAAGGUGAUACAGGAAAUAAGUAGGAAUUUGAUUAAAUUGUACAGCUGAUGUUAACAAUACAGCAAACAUAGUAAGGAAAUAUACUCUGAUUAGGUGAUAUUGUAACAAAUGGACACAUUUUUGAGAAUGGAAAUUUUUAACUCAAGGACUUUUUCAUAUCCAUCUCCCUGACUUAACAGGUUAAGAUAGCUGACACAGAUCUGCAGCAAAACUGAUCCAAGUAAAUAAUCCAUUAUUGAUAUAAUUGGCACAUACUUCAUAGUGAUAUGGAAGUGACUGUGUUCUUAAAGUCAAAACAAAGGAAACAUAAGGCUGUGACAAGUCCUAUCAAAUUGGAAAAGUUUUGUGUAUGACCCAUUGAUGUUUGCUGUCCAAGGACCAGCCUAAGUCCAGAGACUUUAAUCACCAGAGGCUGGUAAUUUUUUUUUUCUGCAACAGGAAACUUAAGACAGUAAGACAGGUAGUAAUAACAUACCAAUGAAUCCUUGGAAUAUCUUAGUAAAUUUUGUAAAAAUAAAGCUCCUCAGGUAAGGAGGUUGUGUUCCCUGGUUCCAAUUUAAUGUCUGUGGCAGACAGGUUAAUGAGUUCUAAUUUCACAGAUCUUCAAAAUAAAUUCAUCACAAAACUAAACAAUGACCGAUUAAAACCUAUUGCAGGGAAAGCUGACUACAAAACUCAGACCCUAAGAAAAAAAUGAUUGCCACAGUUUGGGGUAGGUCAAAAGGUAGAGAGGUCUACCUGAUUUUUCGCUUUGUUCAGAGGGUUUUUGGAUGUGAUCAGGAAGCUUAUCUAUGAUAUCCAAGCUGCCUAGGAAGAGACACCUACUCAUCAGACUAGCUGUGUCGAAGACAAUAAGCUGUGCUAAUUAAGUGCCCAGAUUAAUUUGACUAUUUUGAGAAUUAAAUUUUAGUUUUUAAAAAUGUAGUGAAAUGUUUACUUAGUCUUCAUUUAUGCAAACAAACUUCAAAUUGCUUAGGAAUAAAUACAAUGUAUUCGGAACAAAUCUGAUACUCUUGUCACUCUGUAACCUUCAGAACCAAUUUUUUUUUUAAACACAUAUAAUCUUGUCUGUGUCCUCCCCAAUAAAAAUAUUAUUUGGAUAGAGAAUAAUUUUGGUGUGUUAAUUGCAUUUUAUGACUGAAAGUCUAAUGCUUUUUUUUUUCCUUUAAUGCUCUGAUGUAAUUUUAACUUUUUCCAUUUUUCUUUAAAAUAAGAAAUAUGGUUCAAACCACUUUAAGAUUUAAGAUUAAUCAGGUUCAAAAUCAUUUUUUGUGGUAGCAGUACUUUAGGAUUUUAAGUGACAGUCUCUUAGAGUAUUUUAUGUUCAAAGGCAUAUGGUCAUAACGCCUUGGUUAACUAUUCAGUAGCUUAAUGGUACUCAUGUUAAACUUAAUACCAGAAACGCCAUCCCACUCCUUUUACCUCAGAGUAGCAACAAGAAGCAGAGAGAGAGAAUUGUUCUCUACAAGUUGGAUAUGUCCAAACCAGCACCAACUCUUAAGUCAAUUGUAGGGUUGUUAUUCCCUUGUUCACCUAAUUUUUAUGGCUACUCUGGCCAAUUAAUAUUUUAAUUGCCAGUGUCUAGAUUCCCUUUAUUGUUGAGAUGUGGCAAGUUAUUCUUGGCAUAGAUAUGGAGAGACUUAAACCUACACGCUCCUCUUUCUUUUGGAGACUAAUAAAUAAUAGUGUUAUAAGCACGUGAACUUCCACUCCAUUAACCGUAAUUUAAUUUUCCUCAGAAUCGACACCCCCCCCCCCCAAAAAAAAAUCUGGUGAAAAAUGAGGUCUUAGAGCUGUGUUUAAAAACAAACAACAAACAACUUUUCUUAAUCCUUAACCACAUUUCACAAUGGAGUUCCAACCUUUUUUUGUAAUGUGGUGACAGAGCCCGAAUCAAAUCAAUCAUGUUAACUGAAAAUAAAUAGAAAAUUUCACUUUAGAGUAUAAACAAAUGUAGCCACAACUUUUUUGAAUGAGUUAGAAAAUUACACCUGUCUGUGACUAGUGUGAACCUAAGCCAGUUCCUUAUCCUCUUUGGACCUGUCUCUUUCUCUGCAAUGUGGAAAUAAUACUUAUACUACCCAACUCACAGGGUUGUAAGAAGUGUUUUGUAAGCCUUCAAGUGCUAUAGAAGUGUGAAUUACUGGAAAAAGCAAGUAAAUCACACAAUCCAAGGAAUGAUUUACAGCAAAUAAACCUGUAAAUGGUCAGAAAAGCAGGGUACAAACUGAUCUUAAUGUAAAACAAUCUCUAGAAACACCAUAUAUAUACACCACUAAACAAAGUAAACUGUUGCCUCUGUUAUUAACCUUGAUAGCCUACUGGUUUCUUCUGUGCUAAAAGUGCACACCUGGGUUAUUUAAAGAGCCAUGCUUCAUAAUAAUAUUCUUUCAAUUAAGAAUGAGGUAGAAUACAAUGUUAUGAGGUAGAAUUUAGCCAAAUAUUCAGUUGCCUUUUACUUCCAUGCUGAGAAAAUGAACAUAUCAAAAUCCCCUUAAGAAUAAGGUGUUGAUUUAGCAAGCUCAGAAUGUGCCAUCCAGAGUCAAAAAGUAUGCCAGGCAAGGAGGGCACCAGGCCUUGCCUUGCAGCUGCUUCCCAACUUCUAGUAUAAGUACUUGGCAUUUUCUGUAGUUAUAACAAAGAUUAAUUCCACAUAAAAUCUGUUGAUUAAAACCUUAAAUGCUGCUUUUUUAAAUGACCAAAAUAGAUCUUUCAAGCAAAUUUUGCAAACUAAGUUUCACAAGAGGUUUACUAGUAUGUCUGUGAUUUAUAUUGUUAGUUUAUAGGACCGGACAUCAGGUAAGGGUUUAUUUGUUUGUUUGUUUGUUUUAAACCCUAGAGCACUGGGAAUCAUUAUAGACUCAACAUGUAAAUAAGAAAAUUAUCAGUAAGCAUAAUCUGUAGGAGUAAAUUAGACUGGGCUAAGCUACCUGGCAUCCACACUAAGUGUGGUUCCCUGGAGUGAGGAGGCCAUAGGCUGUCCAAGGAGAAUUGAACCUUUCUAGGACAAAUAAAUAGAUAAAUAAAUACGUGGAUAAAUACAUAUAUAAACACACAAAGGAAGUGGAUUUUAAGUCUAAUGCAAUUUUAGCCUUUAAAAUUAAAGUCAGG
This is an RNA transcript of Vombatus ursinus (common wombat), 9788 nucleotides long. It is a transcript of the gene named solute carrier family 25 member 51, with no coding region annotated. NCBI's taxonomy places the organism in Eukaryota, Metazoa, Chordata, Mammalia, Diprotodontia, Vombatidae. The record is from RefSeq and is a predicted model, not a curated record. The transcript has 3 exons.